This is a long non-coding RNA of Engraulis encrasicolus (European anchovy), 2232 nucleotides long. RefSeq lists it as uncharacterized. The transcript has 3 exons. NCBI's taxonomy places the organism in Eukaryota, Metazoa, Chordata, Actinopteri, Clupeiformes, Engraulidae. The record is from RefSeq and is a predicted model, not a curated record.
CGUGUUGCCUCCACGUUUCGAAUUCCCUGCAUGACAGUUCUCCUUUGCUGUUCAACCACCGACUGGGCUAGUACCCAAACACGCUGAACAAAGGAAUUUCGUCAACGCCGACAUCAACCCAAAUUCCUGGUCAUGCUACGAUUUCUUUCUUUGUUGCGGAACACACUAACCUCGCUGUCACACCGCUUCUGGUGGCGUGCUGUGCAUACUGAAAGCAGCAUAUCAUACCAUUACUGCUGGGCUCUAGGCUACUUGAAACAGCCCCUGAGACGAGUCAAGUGACAGGCGUGCGUAACGGACAAAUGACAAUUUUACUACGCUGGAACAAGCGGCGAUAAGUGUCAGGUUGUCUCGAACCGUAAACAGGCUGUUACAGAUAUUGAAUCUCGGGGAGACUGUGUUGUUGUUGUUUUCUUACUUGGGCGUCAUGGCGGCUGCCUUUUAGAUGAUCCUGCUGAAAUGCCUCAGCUAUGACUGAUGUGGAGUCAGCGACAUCCUAUGAAGACUUCAGAGCCUCAGGGAGGGCAGGAAGGAGGAAUGCCAUUCACGGAAUCUUGGGAUCCCCAGGCGACCUUGAGGGAACCGAGUUGUCCGAGGCCCUAGCCGAGGUCAACAUCAGUAAAGCUGGUAAUGAUGAGGAAGGAGAGCAAGGUCAGGAUUCCUCCUCGUCCCCUGCGAAAUCAGAGGAGGCCAAAGAGGAAGGCACCUAACUGAGAGCCGACUCCCUGACACCAUCUGCUGGAGGAAGGACGUCACUCAUCCACAUCCCUCCUCUCUCUCUCUCUCUCUUUCUCUCUCUCUCUCUCUCUCUCUCUCUCUUCAUGCUGACCUCUCUUCCUUUUUGAUAUGUCUCACCUUGACCCCUCCGGUCUCUACCGUUCGCCCAUGGCUGCUGCUGCACUGGGGAGACCUCUGAUGGACAUGAUCCUCCUUCAGGCUACACGCAGCACAGGGGAAGGGCCGUGGGCAAUGCCUCGCCCGGAUCCUCCAGACAUGGUGGAUCCUCCAGACAUGAGACACCGGUGGCAGCCUCACCUGUUUGGCAAUGACUGAUUUCAGAGGACACCUCGUGCCACCACCACCACCUAUGUCACCGUCCCUGCUGAUGGUGACGUGACCUCAGCCAGUGAGCUGCUGCUGUCCCACCUCAGUCAGUCCUGUAGCUGAAACGUUAAGUUGAGUUGAGCUGAGUUGAGUAGGAACAACUGCCUUAGGUACCCUGCUUUUGGCACCUCGAGGGAUUGAACAGAUACCACCCUGUACCCGAGCCCGUGCCACUGUUCUGCAUCCACCCCUUAGGGAUGCUGGAUCUCCCCCUAAGUGGGGGAGAAGGCAGAGUGGGUAGAUGUGUAGGACGUGAUGGUUAAGUCAAUCACACAGACUCUUUGACCUGACCCACACCUGUGCUGAGACAGUGAUUCUGGAUCGAUAGGAUUCAAACUGCCAAAGUUUGGUGUUGUUUCAUUUUCACAGGUGCGUAACACUCAACAGCUUAGUAGACGUGAUGUGAUGUGUACAAAGUAGUUCAACCCUCUGCUGUUUACCAAUGCAUAUUUAUACCUGUAACUCUGAAGCGAAAACCACUUUUGUACUCUUAGGUGUAAGUAUCUUAACUGUAUUUAUUAUAACUUGAUGCUGCCAUGGUAGACUGUAGUAGUAUUUGCACAGUGUAGUGUGUGUCUUGCCCACCCAUACUGAGAAAUUCAACCAACAUGCAUGCACUGUAAUAAUUCAAAAUCAGUUGAUAAUAAAGGAUUAUCAUUAUUAUCAAUUAUAUAACAUAAUUCACAAUGAAGGUUGCAUUGAUGUGCACUACAACUGUUUUUUGUAUGGAAGAGCUGUUACUGCCACUUGGAAGUUGUGGGAUGGUGUAAACAAUAGAGUAUGCUACCUUUGGAGCGAGAGUGGAGAGAGUGUGAUCUGAGAUGCUUGUUGAAGGGAUUGUUCAGGUGUCGAAGCCUGUCUGAGCCUGCCAUUUGAUGGUUGAGGUGUUUUUUGGUUUUGUGCGGAUGAAGGUACUAAAGUUACUUACUCCUCAAUCAUGCUCCUGCAGAAGCAGACGCUUUGUGGCCAGUGUGUUGUAUGUUUUUCUUCACCCUGUGUACAAAGUAAAUAAAAUGCUUAAAGCCUUGAGAAUAACUCCUAUAGUGUAUGUUCUGUAUGUUCUGUUAUAUGAUGCAGGGGUUUUUUUUGACAAUGGAAAUAGAAUUAAAUUCUUACAUUUCACAAAAG